RNAcentral lists this ribosomal RNA (142 nucleotides) under Paludifilum halophilum. RNAcentral's name for it is "partial 23S ribosomal RNA". It matches the Rfam family "Bacterial large subunit ribosomal RNA", at positions 1 to 138 of the family's 2925-position model. The record is from RNAcentral. Lineage: Bacteria; Bacillati; Bacillota; Bacilli; Caryophanales; Thermoactinomycetaceae.
UUGAGGAGAAGUUAGGAAGAGCACACGGUGGAUGCCUAGGCGCCAGGAGCCGAAGAAGGACGGGGCGAACACCGAUAUGCCCCGGGGAGCCGUAAGCAGGCAGUGAUCCGGGGAUUUCCGAAUGGGGCAACCCGCCAGCGCC